Molecule: long non-coding RNA, 319 nt
Filed under: Homo sapiens (human)
Lineage: Eukaryota; Metazoa; Chordata; Mammalia; Primates; Hominidae
Description: LNC_000593
Source: RNAcentral
GUGUCGAUGCUCCAAACAUGCACGAAUAGCUGGCAUUAAAGGUUCUAGCAAUUCUGCUUCUUUCAAUUUGCAAAGAAAACGAAGAGUAGAUCCUCGAAUAAAUUCAUUAGGAUGUUGAAGAUCCUUUCUGUAUGCAUCACAUACAAGGAUCAUCUCAUGUAAAAGUCUCCCAUCUGGAGUUGUUUUAGGAACAAUUUCCCAAAAUACCAGAAGUAAUUUCUUGAUAGUGUGAUCCUGAAGAGGUAGCACAAAACGAAUGAUGGUCAUCAGAAGUCCAGGAAGUUUUUCACCAUUCAGAAUCAUAAUGAUUACUUUCUUC